RNAcentral lists this ribosomal RNA (497 nucleotides) under uncultured bacterium. RNAcentral describes it as "partial 16S ribosomal RNA". It matches the Rfam family "Bacterial small subunit ribosomal RNA", at positions 28 to 507 of the family's 1533-position model. The record is from RNAcentral.
GACGAACGCUGGCGGCGUGCCUAAUACAUGCAAGUAGAACGCUGAAGAGAGGAGCUUGCUCUUCUUGGAUGAGUUGCGAACGGGUGAGUAACGCGUAGGUAACCUGCCUUGUAGCGGGGGAUAACUAUUGGAAACGAUAGCUAAUACCGCAUAACAAUGGAUGACACAUGUCAUUUAUUUGAAAGGGGCAAUUGCUCCACUACAAGAUGGACCUGCGUUGUAUUAGCUAGUAGGUGAGGUAAUGGCUCACCUAGGCGACGAUACUUAGCCGACCUGAGAGGGUGAUCGGCCACACUGGGACUGAGACACGGCCCAGACUCCUACGGGAGGCAGCAGUAGGGAAUCUUCGGCAAUGGGGGCAACCCUGACCGAGCAACGCCGCGUGAGUGAAGAAGGUUUUCGGAUCGUAAAGCUCUGUUGUAAGUCAAGAACGGGUGUGAGAGUGGAAAGUUCACACUGUGACGGUAGCUUACCAGAAAGGGACGGCUAACUACGUG